RNAcentral lists this long non-coding RNA (7182 nucleotides) under Citrus x clementina. RNAcentral's name for it is "Citrus clementina (C. clementina) long non-coding RNA (CCLE_LNC000164)". The record is from RNAcentral. Lineage: Eukaryota; Viridiplantae; Streptophyta; Magnoliopsida; Sapindales; Rutaceae.
ACGACAAGCUAAAUAUGACAUUUUUCUAGAAUUAAUAAUUCUGCAACCAAAAAAGCACAGCAAUUAUCUGCUUUUUAAAUAAUCCUAAAAACAGGACAAUGACUUAUUUUUGUCAUAAAAAGAACCUAUAAACACUUAUUUUUUAAUCUAUUUUAUUUCCAAGUGAAAACAACAUUCUUCUAUUCUUUCUUCAACAGGAAAACAGGUUAUGUUACAGUAGUCACUAGGCAGUAGGCAAAACACUUGAUAACUAAAUAUGUAAAAAGAAAUAAAGAAGAGUUUAAAAAAUUACAAAAAUUAAAAUAAAAAUACAAAAAAUAAAAAAUGAAAAUAUCAAACCCCUUCUUCAGAACAAUCCAAACAGGGAGUUAGCGGUUCUUAAUGUAACAGUUCUUAAAGUAACAGCAAGUAACCGGCCACUGUAACCCCAACUUUUCAACAUAGAACUUGAACUCUGGAAGAGAUAAAAGAAAAGACGUAGAUGACUGACUGAAUCCGACUGAGAGAGAGUUACCAAUAUACCGCACUGGUCAGCUCCAAGUUGAAUUUGUAAGUUUGGGUUGGAGUCCCAGUCCCACAGGUAGUGAAAGUAGGUAGUUAUCCUAACCAGCUGAAAGUAUCAAACCUGUUUGUAUAAGCCUGCACAAUACAAGUUAAUCAUCAGCAAAGGAGGAGGCUGCAGCACAUCAUGUACUAAUUAUAAAACAUGUAAAAAUAACGCAUUUUACCAGUCACAAAACCAUUUUUUCUUUAGAGAUAAUCUCCCCAUAGCAGCUAUAGAUAUGGAAAAAAAAAAAAUGACCUCAAAGUAGAGCAGUCUCCUCUUUUUCACCAAACAAAUACAACCAUUUCAAUUCACACCUGAGCUGAGAACCAUUCUAGUUUCAAUUUUCAACCAAUGAAACAACCAUAGCAUUCUUACAAAAAUUAAAAAAAAAAAAAGAAAUAACCAUAGAAUAAAAUAAUUCUACUCUAAUUCAAAUAUUGCUUCAGAAUUUAAGAUUUAUGCUAGACACAAUUGGUGUCUAGCAUAAAUCUUGGUCGCUGUAUUGUCUCUCUGCGGCUGGAUUUUUCCGUAGUAUAAAGACCUAACAAUCCAAGGAUGAAGUGGAAAAAGCAUGAUUGUUCUGAAUUACCAAUUCUUUCUAUAGAACCCUUUACUUUGUGUAUAUAACUGAAUACUGUUCUUGAUUCUUUGGAGAAACAUAUUUGUCCUCCUCCUAUACUGGAAAUGAUUAUGAUUUCUCUGGACUUUGUUACUGGAACUUUUAAUUUAUCAGGUUCCAUAAACGGGAAACACUAUCACAAUUAGAGUGUGUGUGUAUAACCAUCCUCUAACAAAGUGAGGAUCCCUAUAAAAAACCAAAAAAAAAAAAAAACAGAUUUUAUUCUCAUUUUGUUAAAGUGAAGAUGUCACUAGAAUACAAAAAAACACAUAUUUCAAUACAUUAAAAAUUGUAUCUGUUAGUGUAUUGAAUUUUUUUUUUUUAUUUACUGUAGUGCCAGACUCUUUCUACAAAAGUGAAACAGAUCAUUCUUGUUAAUUUCCCCAGAUGAUCAGUUUCUUUGGUAAACAACUCUAGCACUUAUAGCCACUGGGACUUCAUACAAUAAAAAACACAUAAUGGUGAAGUUAGACCAAGAAAAAUAAGCUAUUGGAAUUGAGUAAUACCAUGAGAACCACAUUGCUUUCCAUAACAAUGACUAGAGGCAUCAAGCAUGAUCAAAAUAACAGCAUGGGAAAUAAUCUCUCAGCCACUUAUAAGUCAUUAAUCAAAAGCAUGCACCUUUAAGAUGGCAAAAAUUUAUAUACACACACACAGUUCAAUCUCACUAGAGUUUCAGAAACUAGCAUUAUCGAGAUUAUGCCCUUCAUCUCUAUGCUUAGUCAUUGGUACACAUCCGUGUCAAAAGCUAGCCAUUCCCAAGUCCAAACGGAUGACAAAAAGUGAACAUUGUCCCAGAGACAAGAAACUUGGUCUUCCCUCUUAUCUUCAAAAAUGCAAUCUUGCCAAGUAACCCAAAAAAGAGCUAGAACAUCACACUGCCAGAGAUCCUUAGCUUUCUUUCCUUGCCCAAAAGCAAAAACAUUUUCCAUUAGCAAAGAGCUACAAGAACUUGGAGCGUCCCAAAAUCAAUAACAUAAUUGAGAAUCAAUGCAUGCAUCCGCAAGCAUUUAUUUAGUAUGAAAACCAAUUUUUAAUUUCUGACAGACUUAAUUGCCCAAAUUCUACCAGGCAUUUCAGUUAACCUGCCCGAAAUACAAUCCACAGGUGCAUUUAAAUCAGUUGGGCUAUUUAAAUGAAAUACAGGACCUACAAACCUCAUUGAAUUGCUACCAAAAGUACUCCAUGCCAAACAAUCAACACAUGAAAUACAGGACCUUCAGACAGAGGAAAUAUGGCUGAAGAAGAAAUUAAAAACCCAUAGAAGCACUACAUACUUCUAAUACUAAUAAUGGAACAAAACAACAUCACAAUACACUCAAUGUACCAUUAGAGGAAUAAAUCCAUACCAAUGACGAGCUAAAUAUGACAUUUUUCUAGAAUUAAUAACUCUGCAAACAAAAAAGCAUGGUAGUUAUCUGCAUUUUAAAUAAUCCUGAAAACAGGGCAAUGACUUAUUUAUGUCAUAAAAAGAACCUACAAACACUUAUUUUUAAUCUAUUUUAUUUCCAAGCAAAAACAACAUUCUUCUAUUCAUUCUUCAACAAAAAAACAGGUUAUGUUACAGUAGUCACCAGGCAGCAGGCAAAACACUUGAUGACUAAAUAUAUAAAAAGAAAUAAAAAAAGCUAAAAAAUCACAAAAAUUAAAAAUUGAAAAUAAAAAAAGAUUAAAAAAGAAACAGCAUUUAAAAAAUGAAAAAGUCAAACCCUUCUUCAGAAAAAUCCAGACAGUAAGUAAUAUUCCACUGAAACCGCAACCCAAUAUCUGAAUUUUUUUUUUUUGGGGGGGGGGGGGGGAGGGGGGUAAGAAUUAUUUUCAACAUAGAACUUGAACUCUGGAAGAGUUAAAAGGAAAAGACGUAGAUUACUCACUGAGUCUGACUGAGAGAGAGUCGCCAGUAUACCGCACCGGUCAACUCCCAGUUGAACUUGCAAGUUUGGGUUCGAGUCCCAGUCCGACGGGUAGUGAAAGCACGUAAUGAUGCUAAUCAGCUGAAGUAUUAAAACCUGUUUGUAUAAGCCUGCACAUUACAAGUUAAUCAUCAGCAAAGGAGGGGGCUGCAGCAAGAAACAACACAUCAUGUACUAAUUAUAAAACAUGUAAACUUAACGUAUUUUACCAGUCACAAAGCCCCUUUUCUUUAGAGAUAAUCUCCCCAGAGCAACUAUAAAUAUGAGAAAAAAAAUGACCACAAAGUAGAACCAUCCCCUCUUUUUCUCCAAACAAAUACAACCAUUUCAUUUCACAUAGAACCAUUCUAGUUCCAAGUUUCAACCAAUGAAACAACCAUAGUAUUCUUAUAAAAAUAAAAAAUGAAAUAACCAUAGAAUAAAAUAAUUAUACUCUAAUUCAAAUAUUGCUUCAGAAUUUACGAUUUAUGCCAGUUUCAGUUGCUCAAAAAUAUGGAAUUGGAAUGAUGCAUUUAUUUAACCCAAAACGUGAAUACCAAGCUUCAGAUUCUUACAUAUUGAAAUGAUCAAAUUUCAUUCAUUCUGAACAUGGGAUACAACUUCAACUAUUUCAAGUUAUUCCAAGAGAAAGCAUUAAAAGAAAUUUGUUCAUCCUACGUGGUAUAAGUAGCAUACUUCAGCUAGUAUUAUGCAUCAUCGGUUAAAUCAUUUGGAUUAUUAACAUUGAUAUUUUUUAUUAGCUGAAUUAAUAACUGUUGCACCCCUAACUUAAGGGCACUUGUGAUAAGAAAAAUUUAUCAACAUCAGGUGCAAAUAUAAGCUUUUAACAAUGAAGCUGUGACUGUUUGCUUACAAGAACAAACAUAUACUAAUAGAGAUGAAUAAAACCCAGAACUUCAAGAAAUAUUUGACGUUAUCUCCCCUAGAAUACGGAUAUUAUCCAAUAUAUCAAACCAACAAUUUUUAUACCCAGCUGCUUAAAACUUCAAAAAAUCGGUCAGCACAACAUUUAGGAUCUCUGGGACCCUAUCACUACGACACUAACAAUUAUAAGUGCGUCCUACUGAUGUUGCGUAGUUAUUAUAAAUACAUGUAUUAAAAAGCAUAAUAUCCAUAACAAGGUAGCUUACAAAGUUUACUAGGCCAGCAAUGCUAAAGUACAACCAGAACAAUAACAAAACAUACGAAGACUGUUCUUCAUUACAAAACACAACUUUCGAAAGAGGUAAUCUCCAUGUUAAGCCCCAAAUCAAAAUCAAUCCUCCACUGACCACAAUUUUUUCACCAUCAUUGCCCAAACCUGAAAAGUAAGGGCUGAGCUAAUGGCCCGUAACACAAAGGAUUUCUUUUUUUCUUUUAACACCAAAAUAAUUCACACAACUUGGGUACAUUUCUAGCAUAAGCCAUUUAUUUAUAUAUAAAUAUAUAAAUUAUUUCUUAAAACAUUUUGAGUUUGAAAGUUUUGGUAUUCAAUAGAAACAUCAUAAGACAAGAUCAUAACAUACCCUAGGGUUACUCAUACUUUCUGAAGUUACAUGUAAAGAAAUCCUAAAAUUACUCUUUCAAUAAUACAAAAUAAAAACAUGCCUGACAAGUCAGUAAGCUGUAAAUCCAACCAUAGAACAUGUCAUAAGGAAGGCACAAGCAGAGGAAAGAUCUUCAAUGCCUCAGUGUGAUGACAAUCAUCAUGAAACAAUAUCAACAGAUGUGUUUUAGGGAUACAUCUCAUAUAACAACCUUCAAAUGAUAUUAAUAUACAGCGAUAGAUCGAUAUAAAAUAAAUAACUCCAUAAAGCCAUAAAGAAAGAGUUUACAUUUGUGUUGGGGGUGGGGGGAGUUGGGGAGGAAGGAAGUAUGUAAAGUCUCUCAAAUUCUUUACUCAUGGUGUAAUAGAUUCUCCGAUAUACAUAAUGUAUAAUGCUGUUAAAAGAAGCCCUGAACUUAGAAUUACUUCCCCCUCCUCAUAUUCUUAGUUAUAAUAAGGCAUGAGUGAGUUUUGGUAUAUUUAAUGGGAUAUUGAAUGGUCUUUACCCCCAUUUUAUCUUGCAAUUACAAAACCAUGAAAGCCUCUUGCAAAACCUGAAUUUAGAUGAAUGGACUUCAAAUGAAAGGAUUUUCUUGCAAAAACUACAAAAUACAAUGGCAUAGUGAAAACGGGAAAAUGAAAAUAUAAAGCAAAAGAAAAAGUUUCCAUCUGAUAAAACAAAUACAAAAAAAUCCAAGUUUCUUAUUUGCCAUGCCAAUAUUAUUCAUGAAGAACUAAUCUAAUUUCUUUUCCAGACAAGGUUAGUAACAAUUUAUCUGUAAAUAACUGAACCAACUUGGUUACUACGACAUUACUCUUUCGCUUCUGCACUCAUUUUCUGCACAGUUGCAGUUCAUCAACGGCCGCGUUCACCAAAACGAGUCCACUCUCCCCACUUCACUUAUUUCCCCACCAUUUAAUGUCUCUCAAAGUGCAGCAGCAAGACAUGAACUCCUAUCAUUAUGAGCAAUAUAAAAAGCCCUCCUAAAAAAUCCACCACCUGUUUGGCCAGAAAAACUCCAUUACUCAUUUCCACACUCUCAAUUUUCACCCCUUUCAUCGGAACACAAGCAUUACUUACCCAUGUUUAGACAUAAUUUAUUUUUCUGAUAUCACAUCAUUCAGGGGAAAAAAAAAACAGACUUCAGCACAUAACAUAAAUUACAACAAGCUGGUCAAUUCACAUAAACAAGGAAAAAUUAACUCAAUAAAGUGAAGUAGGCACAAAAUGACCUCAAUGAGAUAUCAGAGACCUCUAAAAUCAAAUCAAAUUCAGUUAAACAAAGAAUCACUCAUCCAAGAUAAGCAAAAGAAUAAAAGCAAUGAAUAACAGAAAGAAAUUUCUUAUAAAAAUUCAAUUAAAAAAAAAAAGCUAAUAAUCUUUUCUGGUUAAGUGAUUUCGUCCGCAAAUAAGACAAAAUAGAAAUUCUGAAAUAUACCUAGGGUUUCUAGCUUUGGGAAUUUACCUUAUGAGAAAUCAGUCUCUCUGUUUCUAGAUUUGUAACUUUAGUAUCAUGGCGAAGCGACCUCACUCAGCUGAGAUAAUCGGAUUUCGCACCGGCGACGAUGCAAAUGUUGGGGUUUGGGCUCGACGACAGACAUAGGAGUGUUGGGGUUUUGGGUGAUUUAAGGAUUUUCUUUUAUUCAAGUAAAGUGACCAAAUUAACCUUUCAAAAUAAUUAAAGUAUCCCUAAGUUGUUACACAUUAAUGUCUAGAAUAGUUAAUUAAAUUUCUGCUCAUGGAUUUAUAUGGUACAAGUGAGUUCGUGUGGGGAAAAACGAAUAACAGGCUAAAAGGAAAAUUCGACGCAAAAUUUUAUUAGUACAAGCAUUACGUAAAUACAUUAUUGAAUAUGCCUUUUUUUUCCUGGGAUAAUCAUAUUAUAAGUGACAAAUAAUACAACAAAAGAAUAGAAGUACAAGUAGAAAGGCAGUAUCUAGGUUGUCUGCUACUCGGCUUCUAGUUCCACCCAAGAUACAUCUUCGUUCAGGUAACCAAGCACAGACUCUGUUACUGCUAUAACUAAUUUAUCACAUGACCAUAAUUUCCAGAACACCUUGCGCUUGUCCAAUGGGUUGUUCAACUUGAGGAGGAGCUAGCAGAUGGGCGUUGACAGAGGUGACAAUGAAGACAGCGAGACGUCGAAGCCAGUAGAGGAAUUGCUGAAACAGAGAAGCUAACAUUGCAUAACAGAGUGAUAAGAUUAUGAGGCACAAAUAGGCUACCAAAAACAGAGACGGAGCCAAAAUGACAGAGGCAACUGCUGAGACAGCCAACAGAACAGAGAGUUCUCCACAACUCACGCAAAUGGGUCGGCUCACUUUGAGAGGAACUCUGAUGGGUGUGAGGAUGAAGAGCAGUAAUGGGAUAAAAAGAACAUACAAAUGCUUAUUUUUAAUCUAAUUUUAUUUCCAACCAAAAGCAACAUUCUUCUAUAGGUUAUAUUACAGUAGUCACUAGGCAAUAGGCAAAACACUUGACAACUAAAUAUAGCAAGAAAUAAAAAAGAGUUUAAAAAAAAUCAAAAAAAUUAAAAAUUGAAAAUAAAGAAAAGAUUAAAAAAGAAACUGUAUUAAA